UUCCUGGUGGCUCAGAUGGUAAAGCAUCUGCCUGCAGUGCAGGAGACCCAGGUUUCGAUCCCUGAAUAGGGAA
RNAcentral lists this transfer RNA (73 nucleotides) under Ovis aries (sheep). It matches the Rfam family "tRNA". Rfam says of the family: Transfer RNA (tRNA) molecules are approximately 80 nucleotides in length. Their secondary structure includes four short double-helical elements and three loops (D, anti-codon, and T loops). Lineage: Eukaryota; Metazoa; Chordata; Mammalia; Artiodactyla; Bovidae. The record is from Rfam by way of RNAcentral.